CGAAAUUCUCGGUGGGCGCGGGCCGGUCACGGCCCGUGCCCCCUGCUGGAAGCGCCGGGAGGCGUCUGACAGCGUAACCCUUUGUGAAACUCAUUCUGAAACACGCACCUUUGGUCUGAACAGCGCAGCCGAAUGACUACA
RNAcentral lists this unclassified non-coding RNA (141 nucleotides) under uncultured fungus. Its description in RNAcentral is "sequence contains ITS1". The record is from RNAcentral. Lineage: Eukaryota; Fungi.